GGAGACAUUGGCAGAGUAAGGAUCGGAAUGUUACAUACAGCUGGUAUAGACACAACAUACAUGUUGGGGGAAGGAAUUCUAACAUGUACAGUGCAAAUCAACAUAUAGCAAACAUAACACAUGUUCAGAAUAUUGGUACGCUAUGGUACAGCAAUGGGUAUACUAUAGCUUCAAACGGUCUUGGAUACACAGGGAGAAAUUGGAAACUGGAGAAAGUAAGCAAUCAGGGUCCUGCCACCAGUCCCAUGCAGGGUUAAUCGUCA
Non-coding RNA from Pelobates cultripes (western spadefoot toad), 263 nucleotides. The record is from the annotation of a GenBank genome assembly. Lineage: Eukaryota; Metazoa; Chordata; Amphibia; Anura; Pelobatidae.